Molecule: small nucleolar RNA, 90 nt
Filed under: Pleurotus eryngii
Lineage: Eukaryota; Fungi; Basidiomycota; Agaricomycetes; Agaricales; Pleurotaceae
Also listed under: 1 other name
Description: Small nucleolar RNA snR60/Z15/Z230/Z193/J17
Rfam family: Small nucleolar RNA snR60/Z15/Z230/Z193/J17
About the family: The members of this family belong to the C/D class of snoRNAs which contain the C (UGAUGA) and D (CUGA) box motifs.
Source: Rfam by way of RNAcentral
UAUGUGAUGAUAUACCGAAUCAAGCAUAGUUCACACUGAAUAACCAAGUGUUGACAACAAUUCAUCUAAAUGUCUUUCGCUCCUAUCUGA